Molecule: ribosomal RNA, 526 nt
Filed under: uncultured bacterium
Lineage: Bacteria
Description: bacterial SSU rRNA
Rfam family: Bacterial small subunit ribosomal RNA
Source: RNAcentral
CUUAGCUUGCUAAGGCGAUGGCGACCGGCGCACGGGUGAGUAACACGUAUCCACCUGCCUCUACUCUUGGACAGCCUUCUGAAAGGAAGAUUAAUACAAGAUGGCUCCACAUUCAUAAAGGUUCCGGUAGACGAUGGGGAUGCGUUCCAUUAGAUAGUAGGCGGGGUAACGGCCCACCUAGUCUUCGAUGGAUAGGGGUUCUGAGAGGGAGGUCCCCCACAUUGGAACUGAGACACGGUCCAAACUCUACGGGAGGCAGCAGUGAGGAAUAUUGGUCAAUGGGCGGGAGCCUGAACCAGCCAAGUAGCGUGAAGGACGACGGCCUACGGGUUGUAAACUUCUUUUAUAAGGGAAUAAGUGCGUUACGUGUAAUGUUUUGUAUGUACCUUAUGAAUAAGCAUCGGCUAAUUCCGUGCCAGCAGCCGCGGUAAUACGGAAGAUGCGAGCGUUAUCCGGAUUUAUUGGGUUUAAAGGGAGCGUAGGCGGGCUUUUAAGUCAGCGGUCAAAUGUCACGGCUCAACCGUGG